AACUACCCAGGAAAAAAAAAAAUCUCAAGGGGACACUGCAAACACGCUACAUCAGAGCUACUCUCAAAGCUGACUUGAGUCAAAACACGAAGACAACCCUGGCUUCCAGGUGAAGGUAAAGCCCCAAGUCGUUACAGGAUGAAAUUCGUUGGUCUGGAAAGGUGCAUAGUACAGCAGAAAACAGUUUCCAGCUGGAGUCACGAAGCUAUUUUCAGAAGGUGUGAGACCCUAUUUGGAAAGUGGAGAUUCAGAAGAGACUACAACAAACGAUAAUACCUCCACUUUCUUGUAGUUGAGAAAAGAAUAUAGCUUCUAUACAUUGUGAUACGUACUAUAGAAGAAAAAAGAAAACAGAAAAAGGACAAAACAAAGGCUGGAGGUGAGGUGUCAUUAUUUUAAAUGAGCUGGUCAUGAAAACUGGUGUUGGGACAGAGACCUGAAGGAGGUGAAGGACGAACCACGUGGAUAUUUGGGAGAAAACGUUCUCAGGCAAAGGAAGGGAUUUUGGGUAUGGACGCACACAUGCCCAACGUGUUUCUGAAGCCGCCACGUCUGCAACUCAAAUCAUGCAGUCAGCGUUGUGGGAGCCAGCCAUCUUAACCGCCACACAGACAGGGUCUGCUGUAGUGGUCCUCCUGCCUUAGCCUCCCAGCUAGGACUGCGGGCACACACCCAGUCCUUUCUGUUCAGUGUCCGGCCAACCUCGAAGCUCUCCUGCUCCAGCCUCCCGAGCUGCCGUGACUGCAGGUGUACACCCCUGGGCCUGGCCUUUAAAUUGAAGCCACCUGGCUUUCCAUGUGGUCCCAGCUUGUGGAGCACAGUGUUUUACCAGCGUGGGCCACUGUAGGUAGGCCUCUUCCUACAUUUUUAAAACCUGGCAAAAUUUCACCAAAAUGUCAUGUUAUUAUAAUUUUCAUACUUAUUAUUUUAAUAGCUACAGGAGAGUCUAUUACAUUCUAGAGUAAUUUUCUUUUUUAAGAAAUUUAAUUUUACUUAUUAUUUAUUAAACUUAAUUU
This is a long non-coding RNA of Tupaia belangeri chinensis (Chinese tree shrew), 1016 nucleotides long. RefSeq lists it as uncharacterized. The transcript is spliced from 6 exons. The record is from RefSeq and is a predicted model, not a curated record. NCBI's taxonomy places the organism in Eukaryota, Metazoa, Chordata, Mammalia, Scandentia, Tupaiidae.